CUGGGCUCAUGGUUGAGGCAGAGCUGUGCUAAUGUACAUGACUUUCAGUUGCAGGCAUUGUUGGGCUGUGUCCUAAGGUGAAUCAACAUGAAGAAAAGCCCUGGCUGCUCGUGCACUGAUAACUUCAUCUUUUCAGACAUCUGGGAACUACCGCCACAAUGUCUGGAAAAAAAAAUGACUUCACACUAAUGCAGCAGAGGCAAACCAUGGUUUGGCCAAAAAUGGAACAGAAUUUACAAGGGAAAAGGGAAGUUCCUGGAGUAAUAUGUGUAGGUCAGAUGAGGAUGGAACUGGUGAAUGAGCAGAAGAGAAGGUUGGAAGAGUGCAGUGGUGAUGACAGCCCUCCGCUGCUCCUUCCCCAGAGGAAGGAGCUCCAGCAGAGAAGCCUACCCUCGUCUAUUGUUACCCAGAUGUUGGGAUCUGAGCAUGCCACUAUAAGAUACAUAUCAACCCCUGAAUGAUCCUCAAAUCAAGGAAGUGGACUUUUCUUUCCUGACAUUGACUAGAAAGCAGCCAGUUUUGUUGGCUGUGGUCUCACUUCAUUUACAAGGUCUCUAAAGUUCGUG
Molecule: long non-coding RNA, 566 nt
Organism: Pan paniscus (pygmy chimpanzee)
Lineage: Eukaryota; Metazoa; Chordata; Mammalia; Primates; Hominidae
Source: Ensembl